GAGAGAGAGAGAGGUCUAUUGUUGCUGCUUCCAAACGGGAUUUGUUUCGGUAGAGAAAGAGAGUGCGAGAGAGGGAGAGAGACCAAGAUUGAAAGGAACCUUCUGAAGAAUGAGAAUACUAAUGAUGCAUCCGUUGAACUUGUGACCUCAAUAGUUGAGAAAUACUACAAAGGAAAAUGCUACGCCCACCGCUCCCUCGUCCCGCUUGAUGUGGCAUGCCCCCGUGGCAUUAGUUUAAUAUUAAAAAAAUUUUUGAAUCACUGCUUCCUUUCACUUUGUUCUUCUCUCCCGAAACAAAACCUAACAAAACCUAACUUCUCUCCACUUCGUAGCAUUUUGGACUACCCUGGGCGAACGUCAGCCUCCCGAAUCUUCCUUUCUGGCUCAUAAAAUUUUUUUGAAUCAGUCGGCUUUUCUUCUUCUCUCCUGAGCUUCGAAUCGGGUAACAUUUUUCCAUUCCAUUUUUGAAGCAAUCGGCUAAUCUCUCCACUUCGUAGCAUCUCUUUUCUCCUGCCUUUUUAAUUUUAUGCCAACUGAAGCAUUUCUUCUCUCCUAACAAAUUUCUCCACUUCGUAGCAUUUUCCCCUGCCAUGGGUGAACCUCAACUUAUAAAGCUGCUUUUAUGUCAGUGAAAAUGGAAGGUGUGCCUACAUAGUGUGAAGUGGGGUGCCAGGAUGCAACAGGCUAGAGAUUGACACUAUCGUGUGUUCUUAGUGGGAUCACCAUGGAAAUUCCUCAUCUUCAAGAAAGCAGACAUUCUUUGUCUUCGUAUUUUCUUGCCCCAGUGAAUAUACAGUGGUUGCUGCUGCAUUGAUAGAUAAUGCUAAUGACAUCCUCAGGGCUCGAGCACGGACUGAUUCCCUUGAUGAGCGAAUUUUCUGUUGGGGACCUCCAUAUAAUGGCUGUUUUUCUGAGAAAUGUAUGACCUAAGUCUGUGUAUUGGUUUGUAAAUCGAUGUCUAGAACAUUUUCCAUCCUUUUUUUUUUUUUUUGGUUCUUGUCAGAGUUUUCUUUAGAACUUAAUCAUGAAUAAAUCGCCACUUUUUGCACGUAAAAGAAAUUGAUUGUUAGAUAAUAUUAUUGUUCCAAAACCAAAUUAUCAGGAACUGUGCAAAAAUCAAUGUGACUCAUGUUGAACA
Carya illinoinensis is the source of this 1138-nucleotide long non-coding RNA. RefSeq lists it as uncharacterized. The transcript has 3 exons. The record is from RefSeq and is a predicted model, not a curated record. NCBI's taxonomy places the organism in Eukaryota, Viridiplantae, Streptophyta, Magnoliopsida, Fagales, Juglandaceae.